UCACUGCUUCUGGAGAUUUCAAACUCGUUAUAACUCGUUUAUGGAUUCAAAGCAAAUGGGUGUCAUUGAUUGGACAUGAGUAACGUUGUGUGUUCUGUAUCGUUGAUGCGUGUUGGUGUAAAUGCAGAGAUCCCAGCUGCCUCACUUCAGAGGGGCUCCAGGUCCAGAGAGCUCCUUUACAAGGUGGUAUUUUUAAACAGGGGGACUGCUCCUCCUCUUAUGGUGAAAUAACAGCCGGGAAAAAACACACGAAAUGUAGAUUCCACUCGGUCGAGAUCUGAAAAAGUAUAAUUAGGGAUUGGACUUGAAACCUUUUGGUUUAGAACACAAACAUGUGGUUUGUGGACCAUUAUGUGCAACAGAUGAAAUAAUGGAGACGAUGGAAAGUGAAAGGAUUCUGUAGCUGAACUUCUAAGAGUGUUUGCACAGAUUAAUCAAACUCUAUAAAGUGUUUUAUAGCUGUUGUGGUUUAUUGUAUUUCUGCAGCUUCAGUAGAAAUGUGGUGCUGGAGCCUCAACUCAAGGCCCCAUUGGUUCCGGAGCUUUCAGCUGCGACACGGUUGAAAGCUCCGGAAAGAGCCAGAAGCAUCUGGGAGGUGAUUACAACGUUUAUGUUACACAGAUAAAGACUUGAACGACCACACCGGACGCCAUCUCAUCAUCUCAGCCCCUCAUGCGUUUAAUGCUGCUUCCCAUUAUUUGUUAUGACUGGAGAUAUGACCCACAUAUUGUAGGUUGCUGCGCGUUUACGCUCCGAGUUCUUGCAGCUUCUUUAUGUCACUUGUUUUUACGGUGUUUGCGAGCGCAGCCGUAAAACGCUGCAUGUUCUUUAAUCCCUGUGAAUUUGAUUUUAACGACACUGAAGCUUCAGGGCUUCUGAGACGCAGGCUGCAUCGGGAAUAAGCAGCUCUGCACUUCACUCCCACUAAACUGAUCAGGGAACAGGUUUCAAUUCACUAAUUAAUAUCAAUUAACAGUUAUGUUCUGAUAGAGAAUAAUAUUUACCUGCAGUAAAUAGAUCGUCAUGUAUCUGCGUCUUUGCAAGUGAUGUUAGUUAAAGUUUAAAGUUUCAAAUUGUGACCCGAUUGUUUCGCUUACUGUUUGUUAAAAAUGUUAGAAAGGCAUUUUAGAAGGAGGAGCAGUGAAUCUAUAGAUAAACACACGAGCAGAGGAUGAGAUAUUUCAUGCUGCAGCAGAUCUGAUCAGUUUAGUGCUGAACGUCAGGCGUCUGAGGACUUUUGUAGGAGUAGGUGAAGUGAGGCCACACCCCGGGACAGAUGAGCACUAUUUUUACUCCUGUAAGGUGUUGGGUUUCUCCUACGAUGUGCGGAGAUGACAAGGAGGGGGUGGGGGAGGAGAAAAUGAUUGCUCCCACUCUUCACGGCUCUCCGGUACGGUCACCUUCCCCUCAGGUCACAAAGAAGCCGGGGCAGGGGGCUUUAAAAAGAGCGCAUUGUGUCGCUGCCUGGUUUUCAGGGUGUUACGUGAGCCUUAUUUGGAGUAGAGAGCGGAGCAGCUGAGCCAAGUGUCACAUGGAGGACGGAGGAUUUCAGACACUUCUCGGUGUCACGUGACGCGUCGAGUGUUUACUCGUUACAUAACCGAGCCACAGCAGUCUCACCAUGCAGGCUCUGUGAAGGUGCCUUGGAUCCCGGGUUUGCCGGUACAGAGCCAGGAAGGUGUAGGCGUUACCCGCUGCACCGUGACACAGCCCGUAGCCCUUCUUCAGCAAGCCCCAGCGCCAAACCACUUCUCCACACUGGAGGGCGUCGUACAGGAGCGUGUAGACGAUGCCCGGCGAGCCGUGGCACCAGUGCACCAGCAGGUCUCUGUCGUCGCCGAUGCAGGGGGGGUAGUUUCCAGACGCCAACUUGAGUCGGCAGACGUGGUCGACGCUUGGUUUCACCAGCCGGUGCACGUGUUCCACCGCAGAGACGAAGCCCGGCUGCGAGGGAGAGCGAGGGACAAGGGGAAUCAACACCGACUUUACAGCUGGAACAAUUACUUCUUUAAUCAAUCAACCAAUCGAUUAAUUCACUUUUUACGAUUUGGAGGAUUCGUCAGACAAAAUAAUGAAUUCUUCUCAUCGUGGGCUCUGGUAAGUUGUGAUGGUUACUGAUCAGAACCGUCUUUACCUGCAUGAGGAAGUAGUAGAUGCCCGCGAGUCCGUGUGCGGCGCCAACGUACUGCUCCUGGUACCACUCGUACAUCAGAGGGCUCUGGUUCUGGAACCUGAACUUCCUGCUGAGGUGCUCGCCCGACGCCAGCACGCUCUCGCUGAUCUGAGGAUUGGAAACAACACAUCUCAGAAACAUCUAAUCUGCGCGAGUGAGAGAAAUCAAUGAGGCAAAAAUUAGAGACAUCGGACAUCGAUAUUUUUUUUCUUUUCCAGACUCUUUGGUUCCUGUCGUUCAAACAACUUAAAUCCAGACCCUUCCUCCCAAGGAGCGCUCGCCUCAGACGGCUCGGACCCACCUGCUGGAUGUACUGCAGCGGGAUCCUGUCCUGCCCCAGCUGCUGGUUGAUGAAGACGAGGGAGUAGAGGAAGCCCAUUCGACCGUAGAGCAGCUCGUCGGGCAGCCCCCCCGAUCCCUGCACCACCGUCUGGUGAAACUGCAGCAGUCUGAGAAAAAAAAAGACACAGAACUCAAGAGUCAGAAGCAUCAUUUAAAAUAACUGUGUACAAUUAAUUAUUUAAAUAAAAUGAUCCUCAUCUGUA
This is a long non-coding RNA of Hippoglossus stenolepis (Pacific halibut), 2718 nucleotides long. RefSeq lists it as uncharacterized. Lineage: Eukaryota; Metazoa; Chordata; Actinopteri; Pleuronectiformes; Pleuronectidae. The transcript is spliced from 4 exons. The record is from RefSeq and is a predicted model, not a curated record.